UGGGGAAUAUUGCACAAUGGGGGAAACCCUGAUGCAGCGACGCCGCGUGAGCGAAGAAGGUUUUCGAAUCGUAAAGCUCUGUCCUAUGGGAAGAUAAUGACGGUACCAUAGGAGGAAGCCCCGGCUAACUACGUGCCAGCAGCCGCGGUAAUACGUAGGGGGCAAGCGUUGUCCGGAAUCACUGGGCGUAAAGGGUUCGCAGGCGGAAAUGCAAGUCAGUUGUGAGAGGCAGAGGCUCAACCUCUGUAAGCAAUUGAAACUGUAUUUCUUGAGAUGUGGAGAGGCAAGUGGAAUUCCUAGUGUAGCGGUGAAAUGCGUAGAUAUUAGGAAGAAUACCGGUGGCGAAGGCGACUUGCUGGACACAAACUGACGCUGAGGAACGAAAGCGUGGGUAGCAAACAGG
RNAcentral lists this ribosomal RNA (403 nucleotides) under Fusobacteriota bacterium. Its description in RNAcentral is "Fusobacteria bacterium partial 16S ribosomal RNA". It matches the Rfam family "Bacterial small subunit ribosomal RNA", at positions 355 to 776 of the family's 1533-position model. The record is from RNAcentral. Lineage: Bacteria; Fusobacteriati; Fusobacteriota.